CUACCGGGGUAUCUAAUCCUGUUUGCUCCCCAUGCUUUCGUGCAUCAGUGUCAAAUAAAUCGUAGCCACCUGCCUUCGCAAUCGGUGUUCUGGAUGAUAUCUAUGCAUUUCACCGCUACACCAUCCAUUCCGGCAGCCUCCAAUUAUUUCAAGCUCUACAGUAUCAAUGGCACCUCAACCGUUGAGCGGCUGUAUUUCACCACUGACUUAUAAAGCCACCUACGCACCCUUUAAACCCAAUAAAUCCGGACAACGCUCGCACCCUCCGUAUUACCGCGGCUGCUGGCAC
Molecule: ribosomal RNA, 289 nt
Filed under: uncultured Dyadobacter sp.
Lineage: Bacteria; Pseudomonadati; Bacteroidota; Cytophagia; Cytophagales; Spirosomataceae
Description: partial 16S ribosomal RNA
Source: RNAcentral